CCUACGGGGAGCAGCAGUGAGGAAUAUUGGUCAAUGGACGCAAGUCUGAACCAGCCAUGCCGCGUGCAGGAAGACGGCUCUAUGAGUUGUAAACUGCUUUUGUACGAGGGUAAAUCCCGAUACGUGUAUCGGGUUGAAAGUAUCGUACGAAUAAGGAUCAGCUAACUCCGUGCCAGCAGCCGCGGUAAUACGGAGGAUUCAAGCGUUAUCCGGAUUUAUUGGGUUUAAAGGGUGCGUAGGCGGUUCGAUAAGUUAGAGGUGAAAGCCCGGGGCUCAACUCCGGCACUGCCUCUGAUACUGUCGGGCUAGAGUUUAGUUGCGGUAGGCGGAAUGUAUGGUGUAGCGGUGAAAUGCAUAGAGAUCAUACAGAACACCGAUUGCGAAGGCAGCUUACCAAACUACGACUGACGUUGAGGCACGAAAGCGUGGGGAGCAAACAGGAUUAGAUACCCCAGUAGUC
This 460-nucleotide ribosomal RNA is filed under the name uncultured bacterium. RNAcentral's name for it is "partial 16S ribosomal RNA". It matches the Rfam family "Bacterial small subunit ribosomal RNA", at positions 338 to 795 of the family's 1533-position model. The record is from RNAcentral.